Molecule: ribosomal RNA, 508 nt
Filed under: uncultured bacterium
Lineage: Bacteria
Description: partial 16S ribosomal RNA
Rfam family: Bacterial small subunit ribosomal RNA
Source: RNAcentral
AUUGGACGCUGGCGGCAUGCCUUACACAUGCAAGUCGAACGGCAGCGGGGGAGAAGCUUGCUUUUCCUGCCGGCGAGUGGCGAACGGGUGAGUAAUACAUCGGAACGUGCCCUGUAGUGGGGGAUAACUAGUCGAAAGAUUAGCUAAUACCGCAUACGACCUGAGGGUGAAAGUGGGGGACCGCAAGGCCUCAUGCUAUAGGAGCGGCCGAUGUCUGAUUAGCUAGUUGGUGGGGUAAAGGCCUACCAAGGCGACGAUCAGUAGCUGGUCUGAGAGGACGAUCAGCCACGCUGGGACUGAGACACGGCCCAGACUCCUACGGGAGGCAGGAGUGGGGAAUUUUGGACAAUGGGCGAAAGCCUGAUCCAGCAAUGCCGCGUGUGUGAAGAAGGCCUUCGGGUUGUAAAGCACUUUUGUCCGGAAAGAAAUGGCUCUGGUUAAUACCUGGGGUCGAUGACGGUACCGGAAGAAUAAGGACCGGCUAACUACGUGCCAGCCGCCGCGGUAA